RNAcentral lists this ribosomal RNA (247 nucleotides) under uncultured bacterium. Its description in RNAcentral is "partial 16S ribosomal RNA". It matches the Rfam family "Bacterial small subunit ribosomal RNA", at positions 87 to 334 of the family's 1533-position model. The record is from RNAcentral.
AGAAGUUAGUGGCGGACGGGUGCGUAACGCGUGGGUAAUCUGCCUUUGUCAAAGGAAUAACUAUUCGAAAGAAUAGCUAAAACCGUAUAAAAUAUUAAUAGGGCAUCCUAAUAAUAUCAAAACGAUAGUGGACAAAGAUGAGCCCGCGUCUGAUUAGCUAGUUGGUGAGAUAAAAGCCCACCAAGGCAACGAUCAGUAGCCGACCUGAGAGGGUGAACGGCCACAUUGGAACUGAGACACGGUCCAA